GCCGCGUUGGCUGUGUCAGCUGUUGUGUCGCCCUGUACCUCACCGUUGUGAUAAGUGUUCAGUUAUCACUCAUUUUUAGGUUAUGUUCAGUUACUGUAACAUUUAGUUUAGUAAAUCAAACAUAUUAUUAUUUGUGAUACGUUUGUAAACUUUGGAUACAUUUGAAGUUUUCAACAAAGUUUUGUUUUCAAAAUGUUUGUGAUAAUUUUCCAAAAAGCCGAACUGGAUUAAAAUGAAAAUUGAAUUGUGUUUUUUGUGUUCAUUUCAUUUAUGUUUUUUGUGUUCCAUAAAUAUUUACAAGUGAGGAAUUGAGUGAAGUGAAACCAUGUGGGAGAUUGCUUUGUGUUUUGUUUACCUGGAUUAUUUAUACACGCUCAGCUUGGAUUGUAGUUGAAGGCUCGAAGCUACAUGGGGAUACAUAUGGAUAACUUUCCAAAAGAGGAUUAAUAGGUGGGGAUCGAUAGCAAUAGGAGUGUGGUAAGCUGUUACAAUAAUUUCCUUACAUAAG
Molecule: long non-coding RNA, 508 nt
Organism: Homalodisca vitripennis (glassy-winged sharpshooter)
Lineage: Eukaryota; Metazoa; Arthropoda; Insecta; Hemiptera; Cicadellidae
Exons: 3
Source: RefSeq, a predicted model, not a curated record